Molecule: transfer RNA, 62 nt
Filed under: Nectoboreus dolerosus
Lineage: Eukaryota; Metazoa; Arthropoda; Insecta; Coleoptera; Dytiscidae
Description: tRNA-Cys
Rfam family: tRNA
About the family: Transfer RNA (tRNA) molecules are approximately 80 nucleotides in length. Their secondary structure includes four short double-helical elements and three loops (D, anti-codon, and T loops).
Source: RNAcentral
AGUAUUAUAGUUUAUAAAAAUUUUAAAUUGCAAAUUUAAAGAUAGGGGUUUCCUUAAUACUU